GGACGAGAUGUCGAUUUGGAGGUUGUGCCCUUGAGGCGUGGCUUCCGGAGCUAACGCGUUAAAUCGACCGCCUGGGGAGUACGGCCGCAAGGUUAAAACUCAAAUGAAUUGACGGGGGCCCGCACAAGCGGUGGAGCAUGUGGUUUAAUUCGAUGCAACGCGAAGAACCUUACCUGGUCUUGACAUCCACAGAACUUUCCAGAGAUGGAUUGGUGCCUUCGGGAACUGUGAGACAGGUGCUGCAUGGCUGUCGUCAGCUCGUGUUGUGAAAUGUUGGGUUAAGUCCCGCAACGAGCGCAACCCUUAUCCUUUGUUGCCAGCGGUCCGGCCGGGAACUCAAAGGAGACUGCCAGUGAUAAACUGGAGGAAGGUGGGGAUGACGUCAAGUCAUCAUGGCCCUUACGACCAGGGCUACACACGUGCUACAAUGGCAUAUACAAAGAGAAGCGACCUCGCGAGAGCAAGCGGACCUCAUAAAGUAUGUCGUAGUCCGGAUUGGAGUCUGCAACUCGACUCCAUGAAGUCGGAAUCGCUAGUAAUCGUAGAUC
Molecule: ribosomal RNA, 548 nt
Filed under: uncultured Klebsiella sp.
Lineage: Bacteria; Pseudomonadati; Pseudomonadota; Gammaproteobacteria; Enterobacterales; Enterobacteriaceae
Description: bacterial SSU rRNA
Rfam family: Bacterial small subunit ribosomal RNA
Source: RNAcentral